RNAcentral lists this ribosomal RNA (459 nucleotides) under uncultured bacterium. RNAcentral's name for it is "partial 16S ribosomal RNA". It matches the Rfam family "Bacterial small subunit ribosomal RNA", at positions 338 to 795 of the family's 1533-position model. The record is from RNAcentral.
CCUACGGGAGGCAGCAGUGAGGAAUAUUGGUCAAUGGCCGCAGGGCUGAACCAGCCAAGUCGCGUGAGGGAUGACGGUCCUAUGGAUUGUAAACCUCUUUUGUCAGGGAGCAAAGGGCGCCACGUGUGGCGCUUUGCGAGUACCUGAAGAAAAAGCAUCGGCUAACUCCGUGCCAGCAGCCGCGGUAAUACGGAGGAUGCGAGCGUUAUCCGGAUUUAUUGGGUUUAAAGGGUGCGCAGGCGGAAUGUCAAGUCAGCGGUAAAAUUUCGGGGCUCAACCCCGUCGUGCCGUUGAAACUGGCGUUCUUGAGUGAGCGAGAAGUAUGCGGAAUGCGUGGUGUAGCGGUGAAAUGCAUAGAUAUCACGCAGAACUCCGAUUGCGAAGGCAGCAUACCGGCGCUCAACUGACACUCAUGCACGAAAGCGUGGGUAUCGAACAGGAUUAGAUACCCCAGUAGUC